This 588-nucleotide long non-coding RNA is filed under the name Gossypium barbadense (sea-island cotton). RNAcentral describes it as "long non-coding RNA (GBAR_LNC017575)". The record is from RNAcentral. Lineage: Eukaryota; Viridiplantae; Streptophyta; Magnoliopsida; Malvales; Malvaceae.
UUAGCUGCAACUGGUUUCUAUGCUAAAAUGACAAGUUAAUUUGCCUUUCUCAUCUUUCUUUAUCUUCAUCUGAAUCAUUCCAUCUGAUCUUUCUGCAAAUCAGCAACAAAGGGGUAUUCCCAAAAUUUAACUCACCAGCUUUAAUUCUAGUUCAAAUCAAUGCUUGAGUACUCAUUACUUACUGCCACUUGCUCUAGCACCACGGCCAGUGUGGCAGUUGAUGCCGCAACAUCGGAGGCAAGAUGAGUCAAAGUCACUGGACCAACUAUCCACUUUGAUUCUGAAAGCAAUAAGACCGAGCAUCCAUCUGCUUGUUCAGGACCUCAGCCUUCUGCGUUAUCUCGGCCACCUUAUUGAACUCAAUCAAGAAGCCUUCUAAAGUAAACCAAUUCGUAUUAUGUGACGGCACAUUUAAAAACAAGGGAGGUGGAGGAUUUUGAGCUGCCGUUUCUUACAAAAACUCUUUUAAAUGCAUGUAUUUUAUAAAUGGGUGGAUUUGGGCAUUCAAUCCUGAACCCCAUUGCUGCAUCAUCCACACUAUAUUAGUCCAUGUUCGGAUCCAUCCGUUUCUCAUGCGCUUGCCUUGCG